Long non-coding RNA from Herpailurus yagouaroundi (jaguarundi), 4306 nucleotides. RefSeq lists it as uncharacterized. The record is from RefSeq and is a predicted model, not a curated record. NCBI's taxonomy places the organism in Eukaryota, Metazoa, Chordata, Mammalia, Carnivora, Felidae. The transcript has 2 exons.
GGUUCCAUUCAAGGAUUGCCCUUUACUUCUGAACAGAAAGUAUCUUCUAAGGUCAGUACACAGAGCUCAUAAAUAUAAACAAAUUAGGUUGGCAUCCAUGAGAACAUAGAAUUAUGUAUUCCACCCCCCACUAGAUUAUUGAAUAUCAAAGAAUUCAGUAGUGGACUGAAUGCAUAGUCAAAUAUCUAAAUUGUUAAAACUUAAAAUUUGAAAAUUGGCAUUUGGUCAAGUAGCUAUUAUGUGGCAAGCACAACACUACAAAUCUCCACAGAUAUUAUUUCAUUUUAUACUCCUGUAGUAGGGCAGAAUAAUGGCCUCCAAACAUGUCUAUGUCCUAACCCCUGAAACCCCUGAAAGGCUCUUACCUUCUAUGGAAAAAAGAGGCCUUGCAGGUGUAAUUAAGGUAAGGAUAAGAUAUUGGAAAAUUAACCUGGAUUAUCUGGGUGGACCAAUAUAAUCACAAGGGUCAUUAUAAGAGGGAAGAAAGCGGGUCAGAGUCAGAAAAGAAAAUGUGACACCAAAGCAGGAGUUGGAGUGAUGUGGCCAGGAGCCAAGGAAUGUGGGCAGCCUCUGGAGGGUAAAAAAGGCAAGAAAAUGGUUUAUCCCUCUAGAGACUCUGGAAAGAAUGCAGUCCUGUCAGCCCAUUUAGGACUUCUGACCACCAGAAUGGUAAACGAGAAGGCUGUGUCAUUUUAAGCCACUAAAUCUGUGGUAAUUUGUUAUAGCAGCAACAGGGCACUAUAUAACUCUCCACAAUUUUAUAAAACAGGCCUAUCUCCAUUUUGCAGAUGGAGGAAAUGAUAUUCCAGGGACUCAAGUGGUUUAACUCACCCUGCUUCCUCUCCCAGUGCCUGGAGUGUAGCUAUUUUUGAGCCUACCUGUGUUUUCUCUUCAAGUAGUUGGGUCCUCCCAAGGUUCCGAAAAAGCUGCAAGACGCAUGAGGUAGGUAAUUCGCUAGCUGCACAUCCACACUUUUGUCUUCAACAUAAGGUUAGAUGACUUUCUAAUGAGCUUAGCUGAGUUUUUUCUUUUCUAAAAAGUUGGCCGUUUUUGUGAAGAUUAAUUCAGCAUUUCUGAAACCGGAGCUUCCUGUAUUGCUCUCUCUUUUGGCAAACGUGUUCCUUUGUCUCACCAUUUAAGUUUAGAUUCAAAAACUAGACCAGGAGGGAAUAAACAGUCUGUGAGCGGAAGGGGUUUAAUGUGUUUCUCAGUUUGCAAUAGUAACUUCAGUCAGGUAGGGUCUUAGGGAAAGAUGUCCUAUUCCAGUUUUAACUUCAAAGCCCACAGAAAUGGAGAGCAUGCUUUUGGAGAGUUAAUGGUCAUUUUCCAUGUCCUUAGUAUUGUGGCUCCCUGGGUUCUGCAGCAAGUCUAGAUAUAAAGGUCUGAGCCUUUAGGUUUGUUCUGGUUUUAAGCACAUUUGGUUCUGUAGUAGAUAUGUGUUCAUUACCCAUCUCCCCUAGCUUGGGGGAAUAUUCUUCCCCUUUCUGUGUCGUAUGAUGAGUGAGGGCAACCUAGCCAUCCCCUUGUGACCUAGGCUUGGCCAAUCAGAAUACAGUAUGUUAUAUCCUGACUACAGUGAUUGGUUCAGGGAUCAAGAAGGAUGGUGCAGAGGUUUAUAUGUAACCUUAAAUAUUUUCUUCAUGUAUAUAUAAGCAAAUAUAAAAAUACAUCCCUAUUUUCUCUAUUUUAACACAGGAAGUAUAUUAGACAUACUGUUCUCCAAUGUGCUUUUUUCACCUAACAACGUAUCUUGUCAAUCUCUUCCUAUCAAUAGAUAAGAGAACUUCAUCCCUUAUGCAGCUAGAUAGUAUUACGGGAUCCAUUUUGAUCAGAAGGACCUUGGAAAACCAGGUUGAUUUUGAGGAGUUGGGUCAACUCUGUAUGAGAAAGGAGUGGUAGAAGGUUAUAACUGGAUCCCAUCCCUUCUUCUACCUGGCAGAGAACCAGUACCUGAUUCUCUUACAGAGCUAGGAGAAAGAGGGUCCCUGGACUGGGAGGUGCUAGAAACAAGUUAAUGGUGUUGACCUUAUUUUGAAAGGAUGAAGUUAAAUAACGUAUACAUGCUAAAUGUUGAAACUACUGCCAGCAUGCCUCCCAACUUGGCUUCUAGACAGCAGACAGUUACUUUUAUACCACUCAGGGAGGAAUGAAAAAGGUUCUUCUUCAGAAACCUGACCCCACCAGGAAAGAUGACCUAGAAAUACUGCUGUGGGCUGGGAGUUCUCAUCAACAGCCUGAUCACUCUAGAGUGAGACCUUAGUCAUCAAGCCUCCCAGCUAACCAGAGAACUUUCACUGAGCUUUUAAGUAAUCUACUCUUAAUUAUCAUCAAGCAGUUAAGAAUUCUUAGAUAUCUGAGGGAAACUUCCAAAAUAAAAGAUACAGUCCACAAUGAACCAAAAGCAAAAAAUAAGUUAAGUUGCUGCUUGGAGGAAACAAAGACUACAGGGGGAGCUGAAAACUUUUUUAAAAAGCUAUCAUCAAAAUCUUCAGAGAAAUAAAAGAUGAUACUGCAUCCAUGAAACAUGUUCUAUUAAAAAGGAACAUUCAGAAAAAUGUAGAAGAAAAGAAUUAUUGGAAAUUUAAGAAAAGAGAAAUUCAGUAAAUGGAUUGGAAGAGAAAUUGAGAAAGUCUUCCUGAAAUCAGAUUAAAAGGCAAAUAGAAAAUAUAAAAGCAGGCUUAAGAAAAUUAGAGAAAUACAGAAUGUCCCUAAAUAUGGGUUUGUCUGAUGUUUAUUUUCAUGGCUAGACUGGGGAUAUGGGCAUUUGUGAAGAAGAGCAUGGAGGUGAAGUGUCAUUCUUGUCACAUCACGUCCGGGGUACACGCUAUCAAUGUUACAUCACUGAUGCUGUUAACCAGGAUGACCUGGCCCAGAUAGCAUUUCCCACAUUUAUCCAUGUAAAGUUACUUAUUAUUUCUCCUUCCCCUACUCUACUCUUCAGAAGCAAGUCACUAAGCAUAGCCCACGCUCAGGGGUGAAGAACUGAGACAGGUGGACUCUACCCCCUGUCAAUUUAAGAGCUAUUGGGAAUAUCAGGGAAAGAGCAAGAUUUUGACAAGUUUCCUCAGGAUUAAGGUAGACUUUAUUUUAACACCUCACUCUAGCUCCUUGCAAGACAGAGGCUAUAUUAAUUGUCACUUAUCCUAAAAGAACAGUAUUAGAAAUUGGAAUUUUCAUCCUUAACCUUAUACCCUCAGAAAUAUUAUUUAACCAGCAUUUUACAAUUCAUCCAAAGAAUGCUAAACAGGUAUUCCAAGAACUAGAUUCCAUGAUAUUAAGUAUUUUAAGAGCAGGAAUCCCAUCAAUACAUAGGAUAGUUAACUUCUUAGUCUUUGCAUUUUUAUUAGGAAUAUCUAACAGAUUUUAUAAAUCCCAUACUCCGAGUCAUUCAGUGUGUGCACAGCUAGUGUCAUUUUUUUUUUUUACUUAAGAAAAGAAAAAGAUGUUUUCACUCUAUACAUAAAAUGAAUAACCAACACUAGAAUUAAAAAAUUACUUUAGAAAGAGGCAGUUCAAUUAAUCUGAAAUCUAUACUAUAUAAAUGUGAAUUCAAAGUUAAUUGUAUUCUUUUUCCAAAAAGCUACAUUUGCACUUACAGAUAUAAGGCUCAACUCAACUGUGUGUGUCAAAUGACUUAAUCUGGUUAUUGGGUUUAUGGAGGGAUUUAAACAUUUUAGUGAAAGGAGACAAAUACAACAUUCUUUUGUUUAAAUUAAGUUUUGUAAUUCAAAGGAUUUGUUCAUUUGGGCCUUCAAGUUCCUUCUUUCAACACGAGAGAGUCUUGAAGGUAGAAUCAUUGCUUGAAAGGCUUUUGCUUUUGCAUCUAACUUUUACUUUGAAACUAACCAAAAAGAAACUAAGUGUAUCAGAAGCAUACCUAAUCUCCUGGAAGUCAGCAUUGCAUCAAGUGUAUUAAAAUUAAAAACUACUCUUUUUUUUCUCCUCCUUAAAUAGGCAUCUGGUAAUAAAAGGCCAAUCAGCUGGGUUAGGAUAAAACAGACAGUGUUUUUCCUUCACUAGUUCAUUUGGAAAAGUCGCUUUGCUAAUUGAGAAAAUUUUAAUGAAUUUUACUUGCAUUAAAAUAAAGGUGAUUGCUUCAUGGCAACAAUGUACUCAUUUGAGAAAGUCAUUACAUUUAUGUAUUGUGUUUUCAAGUAAAUACUUUUGCCAAAAUGUAUUAGCAAGGAAUAUAAUAUUAUGGUUCAUGGUUCUUGUAGUAUCUGAAAAGAAUAAUUGUAUAACCAAUCAAUGAAAACAAAGUAAAUGUUCCUCUUGGGUUUGUACAAUAAAAAUGGAAUUAAAAUUA